Molecule: long non-coding RNA, 1517 nt
Organism: Megalobrama amblycephala (Wuchang bream)
Lineage: Eukaryota; Metazoa; Chordata; Actinopteri; Cypriniformes; Xenocyprididae
Exons: 4
Source: RefSeq, a predicted model, not a curated record
CCCAUCAGCAACCAGACUCAACAUCUGGACAUCACUCACUUCUGUCACACAUGUGCAGUUCCUCCAGACUCAGUGUCUCUGAUAGUGUUGAUCUCUGCUGCUGCUGCUGCUGGAUCUCUGUUGAUUAUAGUUGCAGUCGGAAUCUGGUGCAUCUGCAGGAAAUGUAAAAAAGCAGCACACCAAACCCAACAGAAACACAAAACUGAUUCAGCUGUGUGUAAACAAAGAAAACGAAAGAAGGAUUCAAAGGAGUCCGUGUAUGGAAAUAUCCCAAAACGCUGAUCAGAUACAACAACUCUUCCAGGAUGUUUUUCUUCCUCACUGUUUUUUUUUUUUUUUUUUUUUUUUUUUCAAUUUAAUCUGUUUUUUCUUUUUCUUUUGCAACUCUCAUAAGUUGAUAUUGUUGUAUCUGAAAUUUUGUUGCUUUGUAUUAAUUUAAUUAGUAAUUCACAAGUGGCAAAUCAUCCAGAAAUUAAAACUAAAUGUUUUAUUUUUAGCUCACACACAUUGAAAUGUACUAAUUUUUUAAAUAUUGAUCCCACCCUUCACUGUUCACACACACAGUCCUGUUUAAAAAGUAAACUGAACAUCAAUGCACAGUUGCUCACAGUAUCUCACAUGUUCUGCUGGAUAUUUAGGCAAAUUCAGCGCAUCAUCGCCCUCUAGUGUCCAAAGCAGAAACUCACAUCUCUCUAAUAAUAGCUCUAAUUUUACCCGACACAGUGCGCUAUAAAUAGAUGCUGCAGUUCACACAGAGGAAGAACUGAAGAACCCAAUAUAAGGAAUUAGUAAUGCGCGAAACACGCUUCAUGGUGCUUCGACACUUUUUUUUUUUUCAACAUUAAUAAUAAUCUUUUUUUUUUUUUUUUUUAAUUGAACAAAUUUCACAUAUAUUCAACAUAUAUAAAUGUUUCACAAAUAAUGCUUUGAUGAAUUUGAUAUAAUCAAGUGCUUCGACACUUUUGCAAAUCAUUCGUUUCGAUUCGGUGACGUGGAAAGCGUAUCAAGCAUAGACUGUAAAAAAAGGAUAUCAAGGAUCAAAAUAUAAAAGUCACGUGGUUUGAGUACUAUCCAGAAAUUCCAAUGGUGCGCCGCUAGGGGGCGAUGAUCACUGUGAACCCACGAACUAGUCUAGUGUGUUUGUUUUUUUUACCUUCUCGGACCAGUUUUAUACAUUUGUACGCAUUUACUAUCACAUUUCUAUAAAUAAAAAGGAAGAGUUUAAGUUAAAAGUCUCUUGGACUGAUUAGCUCUCCAUAAAACAAACAAAACAAACCCGGAAAUGUAGCCUAAUAAAAUUGGCUUAUCACAUAUUAUAAAGACACUUCAUGAUGGUAUUAGAUGGCUUGUUAAUGGCAUUUAAUAGAUUACAACUUAAAACAUUUACAAUUGGCCUGUAAAAGGUGUUUUAUGCAUGUUUGAAUUUAGUUUUCGCUGCUUUUACACUGUUCUGACCAGCAGGAGUCACCAGCGUGUGGCGAUUCGAACCAGUGAAUCAUUUCGCGAAGCAGUUGAUU